Molecule: ribosomal RNA, 520 nt
Filed under: uncultured Glomus
Lineage: Eukaryota; Fungi; Glomeromycota; Glomeromycetes; Glomerales; Glomeraceae
Description: SSU rRNA
Rfam family: Eukaryotic small subunit ribosomal RNA
Source: RNAcentral
AGCAGCCGCGGUAAUUCCAGCUCCAAUAGCGUAUAUUAAAGUUGUUGCAGUUAAAAAGCUCGUAGUUGAAUUUCGGGGUCAGUAGGUUGGUCGUGCCAAUGGUAUGUACUGGCUUUGCUGAUUCCUCCUUCUUGAAGAACUGUAAUGCCAUUAAUUUGGUGUUGCAGGGAAUCGGGACUGUUACUUUGAAAAAAUUAGAGUGUUUAAAGCAGGCUUACGCUUGAAUACAUUAGCAUGGAAUAAUGAAAUAGGACGUUGAUCUUAUUUUGUUGGUUUCUAGGAUUGACGUAAUGAUUAAUAGGGAUAGUUGGGGGCAUUAGUAUUCAAUUGUCAGAGGUGAAAUUCUUGGAUUUAUUGAAGACUAACUACUGCGAAAGCAUUUGCCAAGGAUGUUUUCAUUAAUCAAGAACGAAAGUUAGGGGAUCGAAGACGAUCAGAUACCGUCGUAGUCUUAACCAUAAACUAUGCCGACUAGGGAUCGGAUGAUGUUAAUUUUUAAUGACUCAUUCGGCGCCUUAAC